GGGGACACAUUGUCAGACACCCAGGCCCCCCCCGCUUCCUUCCCCCAGCCCUGCAACGCUGCAAUGUCACGGCAGACAGCUCGCGGCCUUGCUCCCCUCAGUUCCCCUCACCCCAGCCUGACUAGCAGAGGUGAGCCAGUGUGUGGGGGGGGGGGGGGGGGGGUUCUGACUGCUGUUGCUACAAGCCUCCAGGACCAGGACGAACCAUUUCACUGGGAGCUUUACAUCACUGUCUGUUUUCACUGUGGCGUUUAGGAGACAUAUCUCCCCCUAAAUAGCUUGUUUAACGCUAGCGUUUCCAGAAGGUGUUUCGGUGUUUCAUCCCCCACCACCACUCGUGUCCCCGGUCCUCUCGACGGCUGUCUCAGACAGGAUCAUUUCCACUGAUAUGGGCUGUAGUUUCCUGCUCUGUUCCAUCCCUCAUCGGGAGGCUGGCUGGAGGUUCCACUGGUCUGGUCUGGUCUGUUAAGGUCACACUGUCUGUCAGGUGGUCCUAGAACUGACUGCAGCAGCCCAGUCCACCGUACCCGAUGUGGUUUCAAGUAGUGUUUGUUUUAUUUCAAACACAUUUGCAGCACUUGAUUGAGCUUCCCUGGCUCAAUGGAACCAAUUAAAGAGUCCCCAAAAAUGCAAACCUCUAUGAUGUAGCUCUUCAGGCAGACCCAAUCAAACUCUAAAAGUAUUUAAAUGAUAACAAAUACUAUUUGAACCCAGGACUGCACCCUUAUCCAUGCUCUGUGGCCUGAUGGUUGAGCAUUAUGGUAUCCUUGUUGUUAAAGCAGCGCUCCAGUCAACCAGUCAUCCAGUUACUGAAUGUCAAACACAUUUAAAAACACAUAAUAGACUUGUAUUAGGCUUGAAUGUGCAUUGCAAAUAAGGCAAGAUUAAAUGAUUAUUAAGCUCUUAUUAAAAUGUAAGAUUUGCUCUACAACUAACUGGCUGAUGGUAAAGUAUCCCGGGGGCUAUCAGGAUGUUUUCUGUUUCUUGGAGUAUUAUUAUGACCCCAGAGUAACCUACUGUUAAAAUGGGGACAAACAUAGUUAGCUGUUCCUAAUGAGACAGUUAAGGGAACUCUGGUUCUAUACUGGGAUAGAACCAAGGACUGCAGGCGUGAUGACUUCGCAAUAUACCAUAAUAACAUACUACAUUUAGCAGAUUAUUUAAUCAAAGUGACUUGCGGUCAUGCUUGCAUACAUUUUACGCACGGGUGGUCCCGGGAAUCGAAUACACUAUCCUGGCGUUGCAAGUGCAAUGCUCUACCAACUGAGCUACAGAGGUCCACAAUAUUUGUAAUCUACGCAGUUCUAAAGAGUAUUGAUAAUACUAGACAUAUUAUAUAAUUACUAUACUGGUCAUCCCCAUUCAUUGUACCAUUGUACUCCAUUCAUAUCUCUCUCUCUCUCUCUCUCUCUCUCUCUC
Long non-coding RNA from Salvelinus namaycush (lake trout), 1419 nucleotides. RefSeq lists it as uncharacterized. The transcript has 3 exons. Lineage: Eukaryota; Metazoa; Chordata; Actinopteri; Salmoniformes; Salmonidae. The record is from RefSeq and is a predicted model, not a curated record.